RNAcentral lists this long non-coding RNA (274 nucleotides) under Phoenix dactylifera (date palm). RNAcentral's name for it is "long non-coding RNA (PDAC_LNC011126)". Lineage: Eukaryota; Viridiplantae; Streptophyta; Magnoliopsida; Arecales; Arecaceae. The record is from RNAcentral.
GGGGGAGCAAUUUGUAACAAUAAAAAUGAUCAAAUCUAAAAUUUAUAUUGAAUUUCAGAAUUUGGCACAUAGAAUUUCAGAAUUUGGCACAUACCUUUCACACCUCGAUACAUAAUCUGAAACUCAUGCUUUAUCUCAAAUUUUUGAAGUUUCAUCUUUAAUGAAAUAUAAAAGAAAGGGGGAGUAAUUCAAAAAGUCAAAUUGGAAAUAUUUGGAUGAAAUAGGGGGAGACUUCACUCUCAAAUUUGAAAAGCUGAAAUUCAGCAACUUGAGC